GCUGAGCUUGGUGACGCAAGCUUGUAACCUUAAGUGGGGAGCAUUAAAAUGGUGGAACAAUAGAAUUUGGAUUUGUGUAUGUUGUUGGUAGUAAAGGUUGUGGCUUUUCUCAUAUAUGGGAAAAAGAACUGCUGGCUUCACAGAGCAGCAGGCCCAAGAUAGAACGAACCAGUUUGGAAUUGGUUUGUCAUUCCCCCUGCAGGGGAUGCUCGGGUGUCCCUCUAAGGGAUGCUCGGAGGAGGGGUGUCUACCACCGGGUACUACAUCCUUUAACAACCUAUGAGACGUGCACAAUUCAAGAUCUCUUUCCAAUUGGACCACCAUUUUU
RNAcentral lists this non-coding RNA (328 nucleotides) under Beta vulgaris subsp. vulgaris (sugar beet). Lineage: Eukaryota; Viridiplantae; Streptophyta; Magnoliopsida; Caryophyllales; Amaranthaceae. The record is from RNAcentral.